This 72-nucleotide transfer RNA is filed under the name Salibacteraceae bacterium. RNAcentral describes it as "tRNA-Arg". It matches the Rfam family "tRNA". From Rfam's summary of the family: Transfer RNA (tRNA) molecules are approximately 80 nucleotides in length. The record is from RNAcentral. Lineage: Bacteria; Pseudomonadati; Bacteroidota; Flavobacteriia; Flavobacteriales; Salibacteraceae.
GCCCCCAUAGUUCAAUGGAUAGAACAAAAGUUUCCUAAACUUUAGAUGUAAGUUCGAUUCUUACUGGGGGCA